This 497-nucleotide ribosomal RNA is filed under the name uncultured bacterium. RNAcentral describes it as "partial 16S ribosomal RNA". It matches the Rfam family "Bacterial small subunit ribosomal RNA", at positions 28 to 507 of the family's 1533-position model. The record is from RNAcentral.
GAUGAACGCUGGCGGCGUGCCUAAUACAUGCAAGUCGAGCGAACAGACGAGGAGCUUGCUCCUCUGACGUUAGCGGCGGACGGGUGAGUAACACGUGGAUAACCUACCUAUAAGACUGGGAUAACUUCGGGAAACCGGAGCUAAUACCGGAUAAUAUAUUGAACCGCAUGGUUCAAUAGUGAAAGACGGUUUUGCUGUCACUUAUAGAUGGAUCCGCGCCGCAUUAGCUAGUUGGUAAGGUAACGGCUUACCAAGGCAACGAUGCGUAGCCGACCUGAGAGGGUGAUAGGCCAAACUGGAAGUGAGACACGGACCAGACGCCUACGGGAGGCAGCAGUAGGGAAUCUUCCGCAAUGGGCGAAAGCCUGACGGAGCAACGCCGCGUGAGUGAAGAAGGUCUUCGGAUCGUAAAAAUCUGUUAUUAGGGAAGAAAAAAUGUGUAAGUAACUAUGCACGUAUUGACGGUACCUAAUCAGAAAGCCACGGCUAACUACGUG